AGGAACUUAGGAUUAAUUACAAACCAGAAGCCUUCAAAGCCUCCAAAAAGAGUCAAACCUCUUAGUUCCUG
This 71-nucleotide transfer RNA is filed under the name Furcifer oustaleti (Oustalet's chamelion). Its description in RNAcentral is "tRNA-Trp". The record is from RNAcentral. Lineage: Eukaryota; Metazoa; Chordata; Lepidosauria; Squamata; Chamaeleonidae.